CCUACGGGAGGCAGCAGUGGGGGAUAUUGCACAAUGGGGGGAACCCUGAUGCAGCGACGCCGCGUGGGUGAAGAAGCGCCUCGUCAUGUAAAGCUCUGUCAGCAGGGAAGAAAAAGACGGUACCUGAGGAAGAAGCCCCGGCUAACUACGUGCCAGCAGCCGCGGUAAUACGUAGGGGGCAAGCGUUAUCCGGAUUUACUGGGUGUAAAGGGAGCGUAGACGGCGAUGAAAGCCUGAAGUGAAAGCCCGCGGCUUAACCGCGGAACUGCUUUGGGAACUUGGUGGCUGGAGUGCCGGAGGGGUAGGCGGAAUUCCUGGUGUAGCGGUGAAAUGCGUAGAUAUCAGGAGGAACACCAGUGGCGAAGGCGGCCUACUGGACUGCAACUGACGUUGAGGCUCGAAAGCGUGGGGAGCAAACAGGAUUAGAUACCCCUGUAGUC
Molecule: ribosomal RNA, 440 nt
Filed under: uncultured bacterium
Lineage: Bacteria
Description: partial 16S ribosomal RNA
Rfam family: Bacterial small subunit ribosomal RNA
Source: RNAcentral